RNAcentral lists this ribosomal RNA (372 nucleotides) under uncultured organism. Its description in RNAcentral is "bacterial SSU rRNA". It matches the Rfam family "Bacterial small subunit ribosomal RNA", at positions 526 to 896 of the family's 1533-position model. The record is from RNAcentral.
CGUAGGUGACCAGCGUUGUCCGGAUUUACUGGGCGUAAAGAGCGCGCAGGCGGUCGUUCAAGUCGAGUGUGAAAGCCCCCGGCUCAACUGGGGAGGGUCACUCGAUACUGAUCGACUUGAAGGCAGGAGAGGGAAGCGGAAUUCCCGGUGUAGUGGUGAAAUGCGUAGAUAUCGGGAGGAACACCAGUGGCGAAGGCGGCUUCCUGGCCUGUUCUUGACGCUGAGGCGCGAAAGCUAGGGGAGCAAACGGGAUUAGAUACCCCGGUAGUCCUAGCCGUAAACGAUGGACACUAGGUGUUGGUGGUAUCAACCCCACCAGUGCCGAAGCUAACGCAUUAAGUGUCCCGCCUGGGGAGUACGGCCGCAAGGCUA